Molecule: ribosomal RNA, 467 nt
Filed under: uncultured Pseudomonas sp.
Lineage: Bacteria; Pseudomonadati; Pseudomonadota; Gammaproteobacteria; Pseudomonadales; Pseudomonadaceae
Description: bacterial SSU rRNA
Rfam family: Bacterial small subunit ribosomal RNA
Source: RNAcentral
GACGGGGCCCGCACAGGCGUGGAGCAUGUGGUUAAUUCGAAGCAACGCGAAGAACCUUACCAGGCCUUGACAUGCAGAGAACUUUCCAGAGAUGGAUUGGUGCCUUCGGGAACUCUGACACAGGUGCUGCAUGGCUGUCGUCAGCUCGUGUUGUGAGAUGUUGGGUUAAGUCCCGUAACGAGCGCAACCCUUGUCCUUAGUUACCAGCACGUUAUGGUGGGCACUCUAAGGAGACUGCCGGUGACAAACCGGAGGAAGGUGGGGAUGACGUCAAGUCAUCAUGGCCCUUACGGCCUGGGCUACACACGUGCUACAAUGGUCGGUACAAAGGGUUGCCAAGCCGCGAGGUGGAGCUAAUCCCAUAAAACCGAUCGUAGUCCGGAUCGCAGUCUGCAACUCGACUGCGUGAAGUCGGAAUCGCUAGUAAUCGUGAAUCAGAAUGUCACGGUGAAUACGUUCCCGGCCUU